CCAGUAUUCAGUUGUGGCUUCUCCAUGAACAACGGAAAUGGCCGAAAAGGAGAUGAAACUUAACCAGAAAGAUCUUGCCUGAGCUCUGCCGACGACAGCAGACGAGCGGAGGCGCCGCUGAACUUUGGAUGUCAUUAUCUGAAAGGAAGUUCAGAAAAUCUUCGAAGCUGCCUUCUUUGUAGGACAAGGGAUGUCGCUCAUCCACUAGGUCUGGAGCAGGUGUUACUUUUCUGUUUAUUGCCAGACUGUGAAGGCUAGCAAUGGAAAGACGCUUUUUCUCUAAAUUCACAGUUGCUCGAUGAACAAUACUUUUGUAUCGGCCAUUGCUGAGCACUUCCAUUUGAUCACCCACCUGAACCACUAAUGCUCCUUCGAUUAAUGGAACAGGCUGCCAAUUCUCAUUUCUGUCCAUCACUUCUAGACCCUGUUGAUCUUGGAGUAUGAUUGUUAACAAUCCAUAGUCUGAGUGUCGGGGCAGGCCCAGUGCUAAAUUUGGUUGGGGGCAAGUAGGAUAGCAAUUCACAGCUAUGACUUGGGAACCUUGCUCCACAUCAUUCUGUUCAUGAACAUUAGUAGAGGCAAACUGCAUUUUUGUGUCAUUUGGCAUGUCAAAGAAAUCUGCGGCAACAUCUAGGGCCUGAUCCGUUAAUGAAACAGGAAUUCCAUGAUUGAUCACCUGCAGGGGGAAAAGAAAUUUCUAGCGCAUGGCCCUAGAAUAGUAUGUGCUUAAGUUCAAAUUGCUUAUUUGUAUGGACUGCUCAUGCAAUGAGAAGAACCGGGUUCUCUAAAGAGGAGAGAUCUAUGACUGGCAAAGCACUGAAGGUAGAAGGUGGCGUCUGCUCAAGGGUAGGGCGUUCGGCUGGAGGGAGAAUGUAGCACUCAGGAACACUGCUUACACCCAUUUGUGCAAGUGUCAUCGUGCUUGUGAAAUGGUGAUCUGCUGUGGGUCAGGGGUGGUGACCGGAGAGAGUCAAAGACAAAAGGAUGGCAGUCAUUUCUUCUACUUGAAGAUCUUAUUGUGCCGGAAAUAAGGUGCAGGCCAAUGUAAUCUCGAGCAAAUAAAUCUCUUAAUAUCGCGGGAGAAACUAAAUAGCUAAGGUAACUGUUAAAUUUUAGGUAUAUAUUUUAAACCAAGUUUUGUUUAUAUUUUUAGCUAUGCAUGAAACUAUAUGUAUAUUAAAAUAAUUAAGGAUUGAAUCUAUUUCGAUCUUUAGUUAUUUUA
Molecule: non-coding RNA, 1222 nt
Organism: Salvia hispanica
Lineage: Eukaryota; Viridiplantae; Streptophyta; Magnoliopsida; Lamiales; Lamiaceae
Source: RefSeq, a predicted model, not a curated record